UUCUGUUUGCCCCUGAAUAUGUUUAAGUGAGCCUCAGUAUGAACCCACUUCUCGUACAAAUCUCGUGGAACAUGGGAGGAAGACGGUUGAACAAUAGAUGCACCUUCUUAGUAUUGAGGACGACAAUCUUCUCGUUCAGGUCCGAAACCUCGCUCUUUAGGCCACCAAUCUGUUCUUCAAGUCUCGCCCCCUUAAGUGCAUACGUCUCCACUUUAUUUGCCCGCUUAGAUCUGAGGACAUGGAUGGAACCUCUACCACAGUCGCCCUCCUGGCUUUCUCGGCUCUCUCUAACUCCGAUGCUUUUAUGGCCAACUCAUCACUCAAGCCGUUGGCUCUAGCUUUAUUCUGCUCAAGCUCGGUCCAUAAGGAUGCCACCUGAGCCUGAGGGUCGACGCACUCGGCCACAACCUCUUUGCUCACCUCAAGCUCGUCCUUUUAGACUCUCAAUGUUCCUUCGAGCUCGCUACACCUACCGAUGACUCUCACGAGCUCAUCGUCCUUCUACUUCAGCUCAUCAUCCUUCUGCUUCAGCUCAUCUCAAAGAGAGUGGAACUAACCAUCCUCGUAGAGUAUGCUGCUCAAUGUGUGAUGCUUGGCACGAAACUCGCUAUACUUGGAAUCCAUUCUUUUAUAGAGAGCCUUCCUAUUCUCUUCUCGACAGGCGCACUCGAUCUCCAGAAUGAGUUUGAUAAAUAGAUAGAAAACAGUCAGCAAAGAUAAACAAAGUAAAGAAAAGGAAAAGAUACGAGAACACAAAAAAGAUGGAAAACUUACUCGCAGGGCCAUCUAGGAGAUGCCUAACGACAGGUCGUCAUCCUUAAACGUCUGCAAGGCCCUAUUCUCUGUGCCCAUGCAAAGGGGAAUCAUGUUGGAAUAAAUCCGACUAUAAAACUGUAGCCUUCAUAUCGAAUUAUUGGAACUAUAACAUAAGCGGAAGCGUACCUGAAUCCAUAGGUGGAAGCUCCUUGAUCCGGC
This 975-nucleotide long non-coding RNA is filed under the name Nicotiana benthamiana. RNAcentral describes it as "long non-coding RNA (NBEN_LNC014277)". The record is from RNAcentral. Lineage: Eukaryota; Viridiplantae; Streptophyta; Magnoliopsida; Solanales; Solanaceae.